Non-coding RNA from Paramuricea clavata, 73 nucleotides. Lineage: Eukaryota; Metazoa; Cnidaria; Anthozoa; Malacalcyonacea; Plexauridae. The record is from the annotation of a GenBank genome assembly.
GACCGCGUAGCUCAGUUGGCAGAGCAUUGGGCUAGUAUUCCAAAGGUCGUAGGUUAGAUUUCUACCGUGGCCG